RNAcentral lists this long non-coding RNA (1211 nucleotides) under Olea europaea (common olive). Its description in RNAcentral is "long non-coding RNA (OEUR_LNC013016)". The record is from RNAcentral. Lineage: Eukaryota; Viridiplantae; Streptophyta; Magnoliopsida; Lamiales; Oleaceae.
UAUAAAGAUUGAAUUGUUCAAAUGGGAUACAAAGUUAGCCAAAUAAUACAGAGCAAAGUCUGGUAUCGCCAUUUUGUAACACAGUCAAUGAAAAAAACUAAAUCUUGUUUGCAAGUAGAGCAUCAUGGCAACGAGCUGAGCUGAAACCCGAGGCUCGGGCUCGGGCUCGGGCUCAAGUAAAAUUAAUAGGGGCCUUUUUUGGCCUGAGCCGAGCAAAAGCUCAACCAAAAAUUUGAGGCUCGACGGGCCUUGUCGAGCCGAGUCGGCUCGAUUUUAUUGUUUUUUAAAACAAGCUGACCAGUCGAGCCACGGGCUGGCUAGAGCUCAGCCCGUAACCCAAAAUGGAGCUCAAUUCUAUCGAGCCUCAAGCUGGGCCGGCUCGGGCUCUUUUCGGGCUGAGCCACUACCGUCCCGAGCCGACGAGGCGAAUUGCCAUCCCUACUCAUGGUUGAGUCUUCCUACAAAAGAUAACAAAUAUCACCAAGAUUAUUGAAUUGAACUCGAUGACAUGCUUUUCACACUAACAUAUAGAUGCCUUACUUUGUAACUUUAAGUGCCAUUUUUCAAAUCAAUUUUUCUACAAGUACAGAAAAAUCGAUAGAAUUCUUAUAUAAAAACACCUAGUAGUUUUUCAUUAGUUUUUGAAACGACAAACACAGAAUUGCACCACACAAAUUCCUUGUAAUUGUGGAAUUAACCUUUUCAAAUUGCAUUGGGUGCUUUUGAAGAGCUCUAUAAAAUUUUGGUUUCUUGCAGGCAUAUACAGAAUCACAUUAUGGGCAAGUCGCAACAUUUUUUUCUUGUAGCAGUAAUCUAACAGUGCUUAACAUAAGACAAUGCGAUAAAAUUUGUAGGAUUGACCUAAAACAAAAGUUGAGAGUGAUAAACAACCCUGAGCAUUGUCGAUGGGAACAAGAUUGAGAUAAUUGCUCGUGUUACUUGCAGUAGUACUGGUCAUAAUUGUCGAUUAUACAUUGAAUAACUCAAAUGGUACUUCAAAAAUUUUAGGGUGCAUUUGAUUGUAAGCAUGUAAUUUACAUGGAAAGAAAAUAAAUUUGAAGUAUUUACAUGGAAUUAGGGCCUGCUUGGAGUUUCCUUAUCAUAACCGUAAUUUAAAGUAUCAAUUAAAGUGUUUUUUUAAAGUUUUUGAGCGAUUUUUUGUAAGGGAAAUUGUAGCCAACGUACCGAAUCUUUUUUUUACUAACAAACUU